UACAGAGGGUGCAAGCGUUGUUCGGAAUUAUUGGGCGUAAAGGGCGCGUAGGCGGUGCCACAAGUCACCUGUGAAAUCUCCGGGCUCAACCUGGGAACUGCGUUUGAAACUACAAGGCUAGAGUGUAGCAGAGGGGGGGUAGAAUUCCACGUGUAGCAGUGAAAUGCGUAGAGAUGAUGGAGGAAUACCAAUGGCGAAGGCAGCCCCCUGGGUUAACACUGACG
This 224-nucleotide ribosomal RNA is filed under the name uncultured bacterium. RNAcentral's name for it is "partial 16S ribosomal RNA". It matches the Rfam family "Bacterial small subunit ribosomal RNA", at positions 524 to 745 of the family's 1533-position model. The record is from RNAcentral.